Egretta garzetta (little egret) is the source of this 858-nucleotide long non-coding RNA. RefSeq lists it as uncharacterized. The record is from RefSeq and is a predicted model, not a curated record. Lineage: Eukaryota; Metazoa; Chordata; Aves; Pelecaniformes; Ardeidae. The transcript has 3 exons.
AGGAACAACUGUCUUCAUCGGGACGCGGGGGUUGUUCGGUUCAGGCUGACGCACGCCCUCUGAGGCUGAGAUGGACCUAAUUAGCGCGUGCCACUCUGCUGGUGAGCUGUGGUGGUUACUUCAUCUCGCUGGUCAUCAAGUCUUCUGUGACAGAUUGGAUGCCCAAAGAGACCUGGUUUUGCUGAUAAAUCAUUUUCAUCGGCAAAUGCAUGUCCUAAUUCUAAAGAUAAAUUACCUUUUCACUCUUUGGGGAAUUGGCGAGUGGUGCACAGUGACCCUGACGAUGCCCUUUUUGGAUUGUAGGCACGGCUCCAAACCGGAGGGUUCUGGCAGGGACAGGCCCCCAGGGGUCUCGGCAGCCUCUGCGGUUAACGUUGUCCUGCCGGGAGCGCAGGGCGAGGGCUGACCUUAAUCCUACUGCUAGGAAAACGCGUCGGUCAGUUCCCCGGAGUGCGGCACGUGAGCUGGGGCUAAAGGCUGUACCCUGCCGGGAUGCUCCUCUCCCCAGCAAUGGCUGUUCGUUAGGAGCAGCGUAACGGGCCCGCAAUCAGUCAUUCUUUAAGCUGGAACUUGCUUUAGGUAAAACGCCCGUGUCGCCAUUUAACCUUGACCUCGGCUGUGAUGCUGCCUGUACUUUGCUCCCCAGGCAGCGAAGUGAAGAAAUGAGUUUGUUCCUGGCUUUGGUAAUCUUCAGUCUGGACUGUGCCAUGCCGUUCCCUCACAAGCAGACAGCUGUCACGUGAAUUCUGGAGCUACAGAAGUGCUGUGACGUCAGACCUUCUGCACCAUCUUCAAGCCUUGCAUAGGCACACGCAGCCAACAAGCAGGCUCUGUCGACUUCGAGAUGCCUGGGUGUUU